RNAcentral lists this ribosomal RNA (384 nucleotides) under uncultured bacterium. Its description in RNAcentral is "bacterial SSU rRNA". It matches the Rfam family "Bacterial small subunit ribosomal RNA", at positions 28 to 414 of the family's 1533-position model. The record is from RNAcentral.
GACGAACGCUGGCGGCGUGCUUAACACAUGCAAGUCGAGCGGUAAGGCCCUUUCGGGGGUACGCGAGCGGCGAACGGGUGAGUAACACGUGGGUGACCUGCCCUCAGCUCUGGGAUAAGCCCGGGAAACUGGGUCUAAUACUGGAUAUUACUCUGCGGUGCAUGCCGUGGGGUGGAAAGCCUUGUGCGGCUGGGGAUGGGCCCGCGGCCUAUCAGCUUGUUGGUGGGGUGAUGGCCACCAAGGCGACGACGGGUAGCCGGCCUGAGAGGGCGACCGGCCACACUGGGACUGAGACACGGCCCAGACUCCUGCGGGAGGCAGCAGUGGGGAAUCUUGCGCAAUGGGCGAAAGCCUGACGCAGCGACGCCGCGUGAGGGAUGACGG